GCUCAACCUUUCGGACACCUGGUCCUACGAAUCUACCUUUAAGAUUUGAAAACCACAUGCUUUGCAAUUAGUACUCAAUGGAUUGCUGACUUUCUUCUUGGAUUUCCCUUAGUCUAUGGGCGCCUCACAGCCUUCUUGUGCUUAGGAACACUAGACAGCGCUUCAGCAUAUGCUUGGGAGUCAUUUGAAACAAUGAAAUCACCAACAAAAAGCACAAAAAUGUGAAAAACGUGACACUGAAUAGACCAUGAAAAGGGUGCUUGUUUACAGUAAGAGAAACAA
RNAcentral lists this long non-coding RNA (282 nucleotides) under Equus asinus (donkey). RNAcentral describes it as "lncRNA (ENSEASG00005038826.1)". Lineage: Eukaryota; Metazoa; Chordata; Mammalia; Perissodactyla; Equidae. The record is from RNAcentral.